AAGAAGUGGGUAGUUUAACCUUUCGGGGAGGACGCUCACCACUUUGUGGUUCAUGACUGGGGUGAAGUCGUAACAAGGUAGCGCUAGGGGAACCUGGCGCUGGAUCACCUCCUUA
This 115-nucleotide ribosomal RNA is filed under the name Vibrio aestuarianus. RNAcentral describes it as "partial 16S ribosomal RNA". It matches the Rfam family "Bacterial small subunit ribosomal RNA", at positions 1421 to 1533 of the family's 1533-position model. The record is from RNAcentral. Lineage: Bacteria; Pseudomonadati; Pseudomonadota; Gammaproteobacteria; Vibrionales; Vibrionaceae.